RNAcentral lists this microRNA precursor (95 nucleotides) under Loxodonta africana (African savanna elephant). Its description in RNAcentral is "mir-490 microRNA precursor family". It matches the Rfam family "mir-490 microRNA precursor family". The record is from Rfam by way of RNAcentral. Lineage: Eukaryota; Metazoa; Chordata; Mammalia; Proboscidea; Elephantidae.
UGGAAAUUACAUGGUUCGACACCAUGGAUCUCCAGGUGGGUCACGGUUACAGGUACACCAACCUGGAGGACUCCAUGCUGUUGAGCUGUUCACAA